UAUGUACUCCAUCCGUCCGGAAAUACUUGUCCAAAGAAUAGAUGUAUCUAGAUGUAUUUUAAUUCUAGAUACAUCCAUUUGUAUCCAUUUCUUUGACAAGUAUUUCUGGACGGAGGGAGUAAUUC
Molecule: non-coding RNA, 125 nt
Organism: Triticum aestivum (bread wheat)
Lineage: Eukaryota; Viridiplantae; Streptophyta; Magnoliopsida; Poales; Poaceae
Source: Rfam